CUGUUGCUCGUGAAGGCCACGCUUGAAACCGCUGGCUGCAAGAAUAUUGACGGCCAGGCGAUGGAGGAGCUGCUGGGAAAGCUGAGGCACUCAGCGCACUGUGCCGAGGACUUGUUGGACGAGCUGGACUACUUCCGCAUCCAUGAUGACCUCCAUGGCAUGUAUGACGCUGCUGCACAUCAUCCCAAGGGCGGCGUCCACAACCUUGCCCUCAAUGCUCGUCAUGCUGCCAAAGCCAUUGGCAAACUGGUUGGUAUAUCCGCAAGCUCGUUUGCUGCCAGCCCUGUAGGUGAUCCUGAAGAAGUACAAGAUGCAAGACACCAGGCCGGCUGUUGUGCUUGGCCACGUGCCAGGCAGAAGUCAAAUGGAAACUCCUCGACAAUGCCAAAUGCCAAUCAGGAGGUCAGCGGAUGCAUGCCCAAGCUCGGUAAACUCAUCCCUUGCUCAUCUCUUCCACAUGUUCAUGGUGAUCAUUCCAGCCAGCUAGCUCUGUGUGGUGCACCAGAGAGAGAAACACCAACGGUGGGGUUUAAUAGGGUUGUUGUCUCUGAAAGAAUGAAGCACAUUGUAGAGCAACUGCAACCUGUGCGCAGAGAGGUUACCAAGAUUAUGCAAAGUUGUGACCCCAUUACUGUCCCAAAUAUUGGCCAGAGUCAUCCCAUCACCACCAGUCAAAGUAUAGAGCCAAAAUUGUAUGGGAGGGAUGACAUCAUGAUUAACAUCAUACAUGAUAUGACCAAGGGUAAAUGCCAUAGCAAGGAUCUAAUUGUGCUUCCAAUUGUUGGUCCAGGGGGGAUAGGGAAGACAACUCUCAUACAACACAUAUAUCACAAUAAAGAAGUGCAAAAUCAUUUUCAAGUAAUGAUUUGGGUAUGUGUAUCCCUCAAUUUCAAUUUGAAUAAGCUGCUUGAAGAUAUUAAAAAAGAUAUCCCUCCGGUUGAAGGGGAAAGGGGGGAUAGACCAGAAGAGCUGAUUGCACAAAGAUUAAAAUCUAGAAAGUUUUUGCUUGUAUUGGAUGAUAUAUGGGAGUGUAGUAAUGAGGAUGACUGGGAAAGGUUAUUGUUGCCACUUAAAAUAUCACAAGAAAAUGGUAGCAUGAUUCUAGUCACAACUCGGUUUCCAUCAAUAGCAAAGAUGGUUGGAACAACUGACCAUUCAAUAGAAUUAGAAGGUUUGGAACCUAAAUACUUUAGGGAGUUGGUCCAUGCAUUUAUCUUUGGUGAUGACCAGUCUAGAAGGGAUCAUAGUUUUUUGCUUGAGACCGGAGAUAAGAUAAUGAUAAAACUGAAGGGAUCCCCACUUGCAGCAAAAACUGUUGGUAGAUUACUGAGGAAAGACCUUAGUUUGCGUCACUGGAAAAGGGUCCUAGAAAGUAAAGAAUGGGAGAGGCAGACCGGUGUCAAUGAUAUUAUGCCUGCCUUGAAGCUCAGCUAUGACUAUCUCCCUUUCCAUUUGCAACAAUGUUUUUGCUAUUCUGCACUGUUUCCUGAAGAUUUCCAUUUCAACAGCAGCCAACUGAUCAACUUGUGGAUAGGACUAGAUAUAUUACAACCCGAUGUUCUAAACCAAACAUUUGAAUACAUAGGUUUGAGCAAUUUAAAUGAUUUGGUAACACAUGGGUUUUUCAGAGAAGAGAAAUCUAAUGGGCGUCCGCAAUAUGUAAUGCAUGAUCUGCUACAUGAUUUAGCAUUGCAAGUUGCAUCUCAUGAUUGCAUUAGUUUACAUUGCUCCAACAUAGGGUCAUUGGGAAUUCAGCCAUCCAUCCGUCACUUGUCUCUAAUCAUAGAUGAUGAUGAUACAAUGUCUCAUGAAAACUUUAAGAGUGAACUCAAAAAGCUGAAGAAAAAAUUGAAGGUUAAACAAUUGCACACUUUGAUGUUAUUUGGAGAAAUGGAUGAAAGCUUUACAAACAUUUUGGGUGAUUUGUUUAGUGAAGCAAAUGCUCUUCGCGUUCUCCAUUUGGUUAACAUGCCGUCUUCAGUGGAGUCCAUGGUACAUAACUUUUCAGCACUUCUCCACCUAAGAUACCUGUGUUUGGGGACAAAGUAUAAGAGGGAGAUGCAUUUACCACUUACAAUUUCUAGAUUUUAUCAUUUAAGGAUUUUGGAUCUAGAAUCAUGGUACUGCUGUCGUGAUUUGCCCAAAGACUUGAGCAACCUUGCAAAAUUGCACCAUUUUUAUACCCCAAGUGAUGAGUUGCAUUCUGGUAUUUUUAAUGUUGGAAGACUUGUACUCUUAGAAGAGUUGAAGGUAUUUAAAGUCAAUAAAGAAAGUGAAGGAUUCGAACCAAAGCAACUAGAGCAUUUGACAGAACUAAGAGAGCUUGGCAUGUAUAACCUUGAGACUAUACACAUGAAAGAAGAAGCAGCCAAAGCAAAACUGAUAGAGAAAAAAUACUUGGAAAGGUUAACAUUGGAUUGGGACAGUAAGCGGUCUCAUACCGAGCCUGGUGUGGAAGCAGCUGUCAUUGAGAGCCUUCAACCACACAGAUAUCUUCAAGAGUUGUGCAUUAGAGGGCACAGAGGCCCUUGUUGUCCAACAUGGUUGGGUGAUAAGCUCGUAUUUGAAGCUCUUCAAUCACUUAAUCUCUCUGGUGUUUCUUGGGAACAUCUUCCUCAUUUGGGGAAGAUGUGGGAUCUUGGUAAAUUAAUAUUGAAGCAUAUUGACACAAUGAAGGAGUUUGUUACGGAACAAAGCUUUUGUAGGCUCAUAAGGCUUGAACUUGUUGGCUUGGGAUGUUUUGAAAAAUGGGUACCAUCACAUGACUCUCAUAUGUUUCCUCUUCUGCAAGUACUGAUUAUCAGACACUGCCCUAAACUCUUGGAUUUGCCAUUUUCAAACCACAUUGGUUACCCACCAGAUGAAGACUGGAACAUUGAUUGGUUUCCCAAAUUGCAAGACCUGAAGAUACAAAAUUGUCCAGAAUUGAUGUUAGUGGCUCACAUCCCCUGGACUGAAACUCUAUGUCGUGUCAAUAUAAAUGAUGUAAAGCUACUAGUGAUGCUUGGGUACAAUUCAGAAUCAUCCUAUUUGUCUAUUACUGGGAAGGAUGAUCUACAGAGCUUAGAUCAGGUGAUAUCAUUCAGUAAACUGACAGGGCUCGAGGAGCUAACUCUCAAAAAGUGCCCACCUCUGGAGUCGAAGCACCUUCUGAUGCUAACCUCACUGAAGACAUUGGUUGCAGAGGGUUUGAAUGGUGUGGUUGGGCUAGGAGGUGAGGGUGAUGUGGAAUGGCAGCAUCCUGUUGAGCAUCUUGUUGUCCAGGAAUCACGCAGUGCUAGUGGGAAGGACUUGACAGAGCUCCUCUCCCACCUCCCAAGGCUCUCCCAAUUGAGGAUCAUAAAGUGUGAAAUAACACAACUGGCAGUGGGGGUGGAUCUGCAACACACAACGUCAGUAACAACAUCAGAGGUGGAGCAGGAGAAAGAAGACGAUGGGCUGCUGCUCUUCCCAGCCCAUCUCUCUGACUCACUACGGCAGUUGGUUAUCGAGGAAUGCCCAGAGCUGGUCCUGGUGGACACCCCUUCAACUUCUGUUCCUGCCCGAGGUGGAGGUGGGCUCCAAGCCCUGCGAUCCCUCCAGAGGUUACAAAUUCGGUUCAGCCCCAAGUUCCUCUUAUCCGUUGGCUUGUUUUCAUCUCCUUCCUUGCAAGUCCUUGAGAUUUCCGGUGCGGAAGGCAUGGAGACGCUGGAGCAG
Molecule: ribosomal RNA, 3696 nt
Filed under: Triticum aestivum (bread wheat)
Lineage: Eukaryota; Viridiplantae; Streptophyta; Magnoliopsida; Poales; Poaceae
Description: partial small subunit ribosomal RNA
Source: RNAcentral